This 1372-nucleotide ribosomal RNA is filed under the name uncultured bacterium. RNAcentral describes it as "bacterial SSU rRNA". It matches the Rfam family "Bacterial small subunit ribosomal RNA", at positions 28 to 1381 of the family's 1533-position model. The record is from RNAcentral.
GAUGAACGCUGGCGGCGUGCCUAAUACAUGCAAGUCGAGCGAACGGACGAGAAGCUUGCUUCUCUGAUGUUAGCGGCGGACGGGUGAGUAACACGUGGAUAACCUACCUAUAAGACUGGGAUAACUUCGGGAAACCGGAGCUAAUACCGGAUAAUAUUUUGAACCGCAUGGUUCAAAAGUGAAAGACGGUCUUGCUGUCACUUAUAGAUGGAUCCGCGCUGCAUUAGCUAGUUGGUAAGGUAACGGCUUACCAAGGCAACGAUGCAUAGCCGACCUGAGAGGGUGAUCGGCCACACUGGAACUGAGACACGGUCCAGACUCCUACGGGAGGCAGCAGUAGGGAAUCUUCCGCAAUGGGCGAAAGCCUGACGGAGCAACGCCGCGUGAGUGAUGAAGGUCUUCGGAUCGUAAAACUCUGUUAUCAGGGAAGAACAUAUGUGUAAGUAACUGUGCACAUCUUGACGGUACCUAAUCAGAAAGCCACGGCUAACUACGUGCCAGCAGCCGCGGUAAUACGUAGGUGGCAAGCGUUAUCCGGAAUUAUUGGGCGUAAAGCGCGCGUAGGCGGUUUUUUAAGUCUGAUGUGAAAGCCCACGGCUCAACCGUGGAGGGUCAUUGGAAACUGGAAAACUUGAGUGCAGAAGAGGAAAGUGGAAUUCCAUGUGUAGCGGUGAAAUGCGCAGAGAUAUGGAGGAACACCAGUGGCGAAGGCGACUUUCUGGUCUGUAACUGACGCUGAUGUGCGAAAGCGUGGGGAUCAAACAGGAUUAGAUACCCUGGUAGUCCACGCCGUAAACGAUGAGUGCUAAGUGUUAGGGGGUUUCCGCCCCUUAGUGCUGCAGCUAACGCAUUAAGCACUCCGCCUGGGGAGUACGACCGCAAGGUUGAAACUCAAAGGAAUUGACGGGGACCCGCACAAGCGGUGGAGCAUGUGGUUUAAUUCGAAGCAACGCGAAGAACCUUACCAAAUCUUGACAUCCUUUGACAACUCUAGAGAUAGAGCUUUCCCCUUCGGGGGACAAAGUGACAGGUGGUGCAUGGUUGUCGUCAGCUCGUGUCGUGAGAUGUUGGGUUAAGUCCCGCAACGAGCGCAACCCUUAAGCUUAGUUGCCAUCAUUAAGUUGGGCACUCUAAGUUGACUGCCGGUGACAAACCGGAGGAAGGUGGGGAUGACGUCAAAUCAUCAUGCCCCUUAUGAUUUGGGCUAUACACGUGCUACAAUGGACAAUACAAAGGGCAGCGAAACCGCGAGGUCAAGCAAAUCCCAUAAAGUUGUUCUCAGUUCGGAUUGUAGUCUGCAACUCGACUACAUGAAGCUGGAAUCGCUAGUAAUCGUAGAUCAGCAUGCUACGGUGAAUACGUUCCCGGGUCU